ACUCCUACGGGAGGCAGCAGUGGGGAAUCUUAGACAAUGGGCGAAAGCCUGAUCUAGCCAUGCCGCGUGAGUGAUGAAGGCCUUAGGGUCGUAAAACUCUUUCGCUGGGGAAGAUAAUGACGGUACCCAGUAAAGAAGCCCCGGCUAACUCCGUGCCAGCAGCCGCGGUAAUACGGAGGGGGCUAGCGUUGUUCGGAAUUACUGGGCGUAAAGCGCACGUAGGCGGAUUAGUAAGUCAGGGGUGAAAUCCCGGGGCUCAACCCCGGAACUGCCUUUGAUACUGCUAGUCUUGAGUUCGAGAGAGGUGAGUGGAAUUCCAGUGUAGAGGUGAAAUUCGUAGAUAUUCGGAGGAACACCAGUGGCGAAGGCGGCUCACUGGNUCGAUACUGACGCUGAGGUGCGAAAGUGUGGGGAGCAAACAGGAUUAGAUACCCUGGUAGCUACGAGU
Molecule: ribosomal RNA, 448 nt
Filed under: uncultured bacterium
Lineage: Bacteria
Description: bacterial SSU rRNA
Rfam family: Bacterial small subunit ribosomal RNA
Source: RNAcentral